Molecule: ribosomal RNA, 904 nt
Filed under: uncultured bacterium
Lineage: Bacteria
Description: bacterial SSU rRNA
Rfam family: Bacterial small subunit ribosomal RNA
Source: RNAcentral
AGAGUUUGAUCAUGGCUCAGGAUGAACGCUAGCGGGAGGCCUAACACAUGCAAGUCGAACGGGAAGGGCAGCAAUGCCCCGAGAGUGGCGCACGGGUGAGUAACGCGUAUGCAACCUGCCUUUAACUGAGGGAUAGCCCAUAGAAAUGUGGAUUAAUACCUCAUAGUUCUUAACCCCUGCAUGGGGGAUAAGAUAAAGCUCCGGCGGUUAAAGAUGGGCAUGCGUGACAUUAGCUAGUUGGUGAGGUAACGGCUCACCAAGGCGACGAUGUCUAGGGGUUCUGAGAGGAUGAUCCCCCACACUGGUACUGAGACACGGACCAGACUCCUACGGGAGGCAGCAGUGAGGAAUAUUGGUCAAUGGGCGCAAGCCUGAACCAGCCAUCCCGCGUGCAGGAUGACGGCCCUAUGGGUUGUAAACUGCUUUUGUACACCAAGAAAACUCGCUACGUGUAGCGAUCUGACGGUAGUGUAUGAAUAAGCAUCGGCUAACUCCGUGCCAGCAGCCGCGGUAAUACGGAGGAUGCAAGCGUUAUCCGGAUUCAUUGGGUUUAAAGGGUGCGUAGGCGGCCUUUUAAGUCAGUGGUGAAAUCCUGCCGCUUAACGGUAGAAUUGCCAUUGAUACUGAAAGGCUUGAGUUCAGUUGAGGUAAGCGGAAUGUGUAGUGUAGCGGUGAAAUGCUUAGAUAUUACACAGAACACCAAUUGCGAAGGCAGCUUACUAAACUGACACUGACGCUGAUGCACGAAAGCGUGGGGAGCGAACAGGAUUAGAUACCCUGGUAGUCCACGCCGUAAACGAUGUUCACUCGCUGUUUGCGAUACACAGCAAGCGGCCAAGCGAAAGCAUUAAGUGAACCACCUGGGGAGUACGAUCGCAAGGUUGAAACUCAAAUGAAUUGACGG